RNAcentral lists this non-coding RNA (21 nucleotides) under Mus musculus (house mouse). The record is from RNAcentral. Lineage: Eukaryota; Metazoa; Chordata; Mammalia; Rodentia; Muridae.
UAAGGCCCACAGCUCCAACAC